This 216-nucleotide ribosomal RNA is filed under the name Glomeromycotina sp. RNAcentral's name for it is "partial small subunit ribosomal RNA". The stretch from base 54 to 216 matches the Rfam family "Eukaryotic small subunit ribosomal RNA", at positions 700 to 864 of the family's 1831-position model. Lineage: Eukaryota; Fungi; Glomeromycota. The record is from RNAcentral.
GGGUCAGUAGGUUGGUCGUGCCACCGGUACGUACUGGUCUCGCUGAUCCCUCCUUCCUGAAGAACCGUAAUGCCAUUAAUUUGGUGUUGCGGGGAAACAGGACUGUUACUUUGAAAAAAUUAGAGUGUUUAAAGCAAGCUAACGCUUGAAUACAUUAGCAUGGAAUAAUGAAAUAGGACGAUCGAUCCUAUUUUGUUGGUUUCUAGGAUUGACGUA